RNAcentral lists this ribosomal RNA (450 nucleotides) under uncultured bacterium. RNAcentral's name for it is "bacterial SSU rRNA". It matches the Rfam family "Bacterial small subunit ribosomal RNA", at positions 28 to 477 of the family's 1533-position model. The record is from RNAcentral.
GAUGAACGCUGGCGGCGUGCCUAACACAUGCAAGUCGAGCGUGAUUAAAUGAAGUGGAGAGCUUGCUCAAAGCGACAUUUAUGAAAGCGGCGGACGGGUGAGUAACGCGUGGGCAACCUGCCCUGUGCAGAGGGAUAGCCACUGGAAACGGUGAUUAAUACCUCAUGGAGCUAUUGAAUCGCAUGGUUUAAUGGUGAAAGUUCCGGCGGCACAGGAUGGGCCCGCGUCUGAUUAGCUAGUUGGUGAGGUAACGGCUCACCAAGGCGACGAUCAGUAGCCGACCUGAGAGGGUGAACGGCCACACUGGAACUGAGACACGGUCCAGACUCCUACGGGAGGCAGCAGUGGGGAAUAUUGCACAAUGGGCGCAAGCCUGAUGCAGCAACGCCGCGUGAGUGAAGAAGGCCUGGUCGUAAGACUCUGUCCUAGGGAAGAAGUAAAUAGACGGUA